CCCUUAGAUGUCCGGGGCUGCACGCGCGCUACACUGAAGGAAUCAGCGUGCUAAAACCAUUGUCGAAAGGCAUUGGUAAACCCAUUAAAAUCCUACGUGAUUGGGAUCGGGAAUUGCAAUUAUUUCCCUUGAACGAGGAAUUCCCAGUAAGUGUGGGUCAUAAGCUCGCGUUGAUUACGUCCCUGCCCUUUGUACACACCGCCCGUCGCUGCCCGGGACUGAGCCGUUUCGAGAAAAGCUGGGACUGCUGCUGUCGGGGCUUUCGGGCCUUGGCUUCGGUGGAAACCGCUUUAAUCGCAGUGGCUUGAACCGGGCAAAAGUCGUAACA
RNAcentral lists this ribosomal RNA (328 nucleotides) under uncultured eukaryote. RNAcentral describes it as "partial 18S ribosomal RNA". It matches the Rfam family "Eukaryotic small subunit ribosomal RNA", at positions 1470 to 1796 of the family's 1831-position model. The record is from RNAcentral.